Molecule: ribosomal RNA, 517 nt
Filed under: uncultured bacterium
Lineage: Bacteria
Description: bacterial SSU rRNA
Rfam family: Bacterial small subunit ribosomal RNA
Source: RNAcentral
GACGAACGCUGGCGGCGUGCCUAAUACAUGCAAGUCGAGCGGACUUUUUAAAAGCUUGCUUUUAAAAAGUUAGCGGCGGACGGGUGAGUAACACGUGGGCAACCUGCCUGUAAGACUGGGAUAACUCCGGGAAACCGGUGCUAAUACCAGAUAGUUUCUUUUCUCGCAUGAGAAAAGAAGGAAAGAUGGCUUCGGCUAUCACUUACAGAUGGACCCGCGGCGCAUUAGCUAGUUGGUGAGGUAAUGGCUCACCAAGGCAACGAUGCGUAGCCGACCUGAGAGGGUGAUCGGCCACACUGGGACUGAGACACGGCCCAGACUCCUACGGGAGGCAGCAGUAGGGAAUCUUCCGCAAUGGACGAAAGUCUGACGGAGCAACGCCGCGUGAGCGAUGAAGGUUUUCGGAUCGUAAAGCUCUGUUGUUAGGGAAGAACAAGUAUCGGAGUAACUGCCGGUACCUUGACGGUACCUAACCAGAAAGCCACGGCUAACUACGUGCCAGCCGCCGCCGUAAAAC